CAUGAAGAAAACAAAAAAUAUUUGGCAGUUUUCGGAACGAAGCACAUUAUAGCUUAAGUAUUAAGCUGCUAGGAACGACGACAAGCUGGGCUCAACGAAACAAAAAACGAUGUGACCGAUUAGUAAACCAACAACAGAGCCUUCUUCAAUCUAAUAAUUUAAAGGCCUAAUGAAAACUGGUAUGCAAAGUUCUGCAUUUCAACAAUUCGACUGAUCGAUAAACUACUCACCGCGGCCCGAUAGAUAAGCGGAACCGAAGCGUCAUCACCCACGACAAUCUUUGCGGGAUUGGCCACCAACCCCCAGCACAAAACUGCAACAGGACAGUGCGGAGGAGCGGUCAGGCAUAGGAAAUGUGUGCGCGAUAUCGUACUAAUUGGUUGAACAAUUAUACCAUUAUUAGUUGUUCGUUGGUUCAGUUCAGUUACCCGUGAAGUCGGUGAGUAACGGAUUCGCCGCUUAUCCUGCC
Wyeomyia smithii (pitcher-plant mosquito) is the source of this 469-nucleotide long non-coding RNA. RefSeq lists it as uncharacterized. NCBI's taxonomy places the organism in Eukaryota, Metazoa, Arthropoda, Insecta, Diptera, Culicidae. The record is from RefSeq and is a predicted model, not a curated record. The transcript has 3 exons.